Molecule: unclassified non-coding RNA, 250 nt
Filed under: plant metagenome
Description: partial contains small subunit ribosomal RNA, internal transcribed spacer 1, and 5.8S ribosomal RNA
Rfam family: 5.8S ribosomal RNA (bases 176-244)
Source: RNAcentral
GUAGGUGAACCUGCGGAAGGAUCAUUAUUGAUUUUUAAAGAUGUGCUGGCCUUUAUUGGCAUGUGCACUCUUAAAAAAACCCAAUAUCCACCUGUGCACCCUCUGUAGGCAUUUGCCUAUGCUUUUUUUACACACCAUGAUAUUUGAAUGCCUUUGAUUAACCAAAUUGUAAAACAACUUUCAACAAUGGAUCUCUUGGUUCUCGCAUCGAUGAAGAACGCAGCAUCUGACUGACUAAGAUUCGGCGCAU